AAUCAACGCUGGCGGCGUGCCUCAGACAUGCAAGUCGAACGAGAAAGUUCCCUUCGGGGAAUGAGUAAAGUGGCGCACGGGUGAGUAACACGUAGGUAAUCUACCUUCGGGUGGGGAAUAACCCAGGGAAACUUGGGCUAACACCGCAUAAUGCAGCGGCACCACAUGGUGACAGUUGUUAAAGCGGGGGAUUUUAGGACCUCGCGCC
This 208-nucleotide ribosomal RNA is filed under the name uncultured bacterium. Its description in RNAcentral is "partial 16S ribosomal RNA". It matches the Rfam family "Bacterial small subunit ribosomal RNA", at positions 32 to 219 of the family's 1533-position model. The record is from RNAcentral.